This 233-nucleotide ribosomal RNA is filed under the name uncultured bacterium. Its description in RNAcentral is "partial 16S ribosomal RNA". It matches the Rfam family "Bacterial small subunit ribosomal RNA", at positions 524 to 757 of the family's 1533-position model. The record is from RNAcentral.
UACGUAGGGGCAAGCGUUGUCCGGAUUAUUGGGCGUAAAGAGCGUGUAGGCGGCCUGAAAGGUCAGCUGUGAAAACUCCGAGGCUCAACCUCGAGACGUCGGUUGAAACCAUCUGGCUAGAGUCCGGAAGAGGAGUGUGGAAUUCCCGGUGUAGCGGUGAAAUGCGCAGAUAUCGGGAAGAACACCCGUGGCGAAGGCGGCACUCUGGGACGGUACUGACGCUGAGACGCGAA